Molecule: ribosomal RNA, 830 nt
Filed under: Salmonella enterica subsp. enterica serovar Infantis
Lineage: Bacteria; Pseudomonadati; Pseudomonadota; Gammaproteobacteria; Enterobacterales; Enterobacteriaceae
Also listed under: 1 other name
Description: partial 23S ribosomal RNA
Rfam family: Bacterial large subunit ribosomal RNA
Source: RNAcentral
AGACCCGAAACCCGGUGAUCUAGCCAUGGGCAGGUUGAAGGUUGGGUAACACUAACUGGAGGACCGAACCGACUAAUGUUGAAAAAUUAGCGGAUGACCUGUGGCUGGGGGUGAAAGGCCAAUCAAACCGGGAGAUAGCUGGUUCUCCCCGAAAGCUAUUUAGGUAGCGCCUCGUGAAUUCAUCUCCGGGGGUAGAGCACUGUUUCGGCUAGGGGGCCAUCCCGGCUUACCAACCCGAUGCAAACUGCGAAUACCGGAGAAUGUUAUCACGGGAGACACACGGCGGGUGCUAACGUCCGUCGUGAAGAGGGAAACAACCCAGACCGCCAGCUAAGGUCCCAAAGUCAUGGUUAAGUGGGAAACGAUGUGGGAAGGCCCAGACAGCCAGGAUGUUGGCUUAGAAGCAGCCAUCAUUUAAAGAAAGCGUAAUAGCUCACUGGUCGAGUCGGCCUGCGCGGAAGAUGUAACGGGGCUAAACCAUGCACCGAAGCUGCGGCAGCGAACGUAUCACUUAAAGCGAUUCAGCGGGUUACGAUUGACGGAGCGAAGCGACGUCAAAGCGUAUACAAAGUCGAGUCGGUUUAAGGAUACGUUCGUUGGGUAGGGGAGCGUUCUGUAAGCCUGUGAAGGUGUGUCGUGAGGCAUGCUGGAGGUAUCAGAAGUGCGAAUGCUGACAUAAGUAACGAUAAAGCGGGUGAAAAGCCCGCUCGCCGGAAGACCAAGGGUUCCUGUCCAACGUUAAUCGGGGCAGGGUGAGUCGACCCCUAAGGCGAGGCCGAAAGGCGUAGUCGAUGGGAAACGGGUUAAUAUUCCCGUACUUGGUGUUACUG